GGAAGACAUAGAGAAAGAAUGAGAUGGUCAAAAAUAUAUCUUCCUAAAUUUGGGGCACAACUGCACUCAUCAGGGAUGAUUUGAACUGGAGGUAAGGGGGAUCUGUGAAAGACAAGAGAAGGCCCGGAGUUUUAGGGUGGGCCAUGUGGAGGCUCUUUCAAGGGAGAACUCGGGGGGGUUCCUGAAAAGGAAGAGAACCUCAUCCCACCCAGAUAUCUUGCUUGAUGAGUAUCCAGAUGUACUGGAGUUGAGAGAUAGAGUAGUUUUUCCUCUCUGCACUGGGAUGUAGUGGAAAAGUGUUCCUUACCAACCAGAAGUAGAAAGCAUGGUGGGCGGCUAUGGCUUCAUCUGUGAUAUUGAAUAUCAGAGGGCAAAGUGAAAAUACCUAGUCAGUCAUCAGGUUUCCAGACAUUAGGGUUUUUAGUCUUUGUGGAUCCAACUUCUUUCUUUGAAUAAUGUAAAGAGAUGUUUGAAUUCUGCCCAUUAAUUCAGUAAAUGAUAGUCAUGAUUAACUUAUCUAAUAACAAGAGUGAGGACUCAACAGUAGCAAACCAAUGAUAGUACAAGGACUCGGAGGCCCUGGAUCCUUCUUUGGUGGAUAGUGGAAGCAUACCUGACAGCCUCAGCAUAUGGAGAACUUGGUCAGUUGUAUAGAAGCUUUGGACAAGCAACUUCAUGUCUAACAUCACUUUCAUACACCCUGCAUGAGGUUUUUUGAUAUUGGUUCUUAGUGUCUGGACUAGUUUUACCCAUUCUAGGUCAGAGUUUAAGCUAGCCAAAGGGCCCCAGUCUAGCUUAUCAGAGGUUAUUUCCAGAA
RNAcentral lists this long non-coding RNA (817 nucleotides) under Homo sapiens (human). RNAcentral describes it as "HSALNT0030392". Lineage: Eukaryota; Metazoa; Chordata; Mammalia; Primates; Hominidae. The record is from RNAcentral.